CCUACGGGAGGCAGCAGUGGGGAAUAUUGCACAAUGGGGGAAACCCUGAUGCAGCGACGCCGCGUGAGUGAAGAAGUAUUUCGGUAUGUAAAGCUCUAUCAGCAGGGAAGAAAAUGACGGUACCUGAUUAAGAAUCCCCGGCUAACUACGUGCCAGCCGCCGCGGUAAUACGUAGGGGGCGAGCGUUAUCCGGAUUCACUGGGUGUAAAGGGAGCGUAGACGGCCAAGCAAGCCAGGGGUGAAAGCCCGGGGCCCAACCCCGGGACUGCCCUUGGAACUGCAUGGCUGGAGUGCGGGAGGGGCAGGCGGAAUUCCUGGUGUAGCGGUGAAAUGCGUAGAUAUCAGGAGGAACACCGGCGGCGAAGGCGGCCUGCUGGACCGCGACUGACGUUGAGGCUCGAAAGCGUGGGGAGCGAACAGGAUUAGAUACCCUUGUAGUC
This 440-nucleotide ribosomal RNA is filed under the name uncultured bacterium. Its description in RNAcentral is "partial 16S ribosomal RNA". It matches the Rfam family "Bacterial small subunit ribosomal RNA", at positions 338 to 795 of the family's 1533-position model. The record is from RNAcentral.